CUUUACUAUAACUUGGUAUUGUACCGUGAAUCAUGUUGCGUAGGAUAGGUGGGAGACUAUGAGGCGAGGAUUUUGGUUCUCGCGGAGUCAACGGUGAAAUACCACCCUUUAUGAUUUACUGUACUCAUCCCGAUCAAUCGGGAGACAGUGCUUGGUGGGUGGUUUAACUGGGGCGGUUGCCUCCUAAAAUGUAACGGAGGCGCGCAAUGGUUGGCUUAGACCGUAUGGAAAUCGGUUGAGACGUGUAUUCGCACAAGCCAGCCUGACUGAGAGACCUACAAGUCGAUCAGAGUCGAAAGACGGUGAAAAUGAACCGGCACACACGAAUGGAAGUGGUGUCGAUCAACGGAUAAAAGUUA
Molecule: ribosomal RNA, 359 nt
Filed under: uncultured organism
Description: bacterial LSU rRNA
Rfam family: Bacterial large subunit ribosomal RNA
Source: RNAcentral